This 523-nucleotide ribosomal RNA is filed under the name Staphylococcus epidermidis. RNAcentral describes it as "bacterial LSU rRNA". It matches the Rfam family "Bacterial large subunit ribosomal RNA", at positions 871 to 1398 of the family's 2925-position model. Lineage: Bacteria; Bacillati; Bacillota; Bacilli; Caryophanales; Staphylococcaceae. The record is from RNAcentral.
UAGGGCUAGCCUCAAGUGAUGAUUAUUGGAGGUAGAGCACUGUUUGGACGAGGGGCCCCUCUCGGGUUACCGAAUUCAGACAAACUCCGAAUGCCAAUUAAUUUAACUUGGGAGUCAGAACAUGGGUGAUAAGGUCCGUGUUCGAAAGGGAAACAGCCCAGACCACCAGCUAAGGUCCCAAAAUAUAUGUUAAGUGGAAAAGGAUGUGGCGUUGCCCAGACAACUAGGAUGUUGGCUUAGAAGCAGCCAUCAUUUAAAGAGUGCGUAAUAGCUCACUAGUCGAGUGACACUGCGCCGAAAAUGUACCGGGGCUAAACAUAUUACCGAAGCUGUGGAUUGUCCUUUGGACAAUGGUAGGAGAGCGUUCUAAGGGCGUCGAAGCAUGAUCGCAAGGACAUGUGGAGCGCUUAGAAGUGAGAAUGCCGGUGUGAGUAGCGAAAGACGGGUGAGAAUCCCGUCCACCGAUUGACUAAGGUUUCCAGAGGAAGGCUCGUCCGCUCUGGGUUAGUCGGGUCCUAAGCUG